This 7463-nucleotide unclassified non-coding RNA is filed under the name Venturia canescens. RNAcentral's name for it is "flocculation protein FLO11-like, transcript variant X3". The record is from RNAcentral. Lineage: Eukaryota; Metazoa; Arthropoda; Insecta; Hymenoptera; Ichneumonidae.
GGUAGAGAGAGAGCCGAGAGCCGAGCAGUGCGCUCGUGAUUCCUGCGCGACACGGAGCGCUUAUCGAUGCCUCCGCGUAUUACGAAAAUAUCUAUCUUUCUAUUUAUACAUAUACAAAUGUAUGUAAACUGUACAAUUUUACAAUGAUCGUUUGUAAGUUUAUACACUUUCCUAUUCGCCGGUGAAACGAGUUAAAUUUGAAUUUUCCGCCUCUGUAAAUAUACCCUCGAAUGAUCAACGUAACCGUACCGCCGACAUCAAAAACACAACGAUAACAGUAGCAGCAAUAAUAAUAAUAAUAAUAAUAAUAAUAAUAAUAAUAAUAAUAACAACAACAACAGCAACGAUAAUAAUGAUGGUAUAAUAAUGAGAAUGGCAAUAUCGCGGAACUACGAAGACGAGAGGAUUGGGAUUUUCAUUGAAUAAUUGUCAAGUGUGUAUACGUGUGUAUAUAUAUAUGUGGUGCUUCUGUAUGCUCCCCGUUUUCCCGUCUUCCGAGUAGUGCGUAUAUGUUUUUGUUCAGCUUCGUGUGUAACAUCAACAUUCCAAAAGGUUCAUUGAAAGACUCGUCGUGUUUUGUGCUCGAUUCCGGGUAUGCACGUGAACACGAAAAGAAAAUAGUAAUAAAAAGAAGUUAAGAAAUGUGUUGUACUCGUGGAUUUGCGCGGAGAAGACAAGUGCACGCGCGGCGGCCUCUCGGGCUACCUUAGUUUUUCUUUAUGUCUUUCCAAUUACAUACGCGGGGAUUUACACACACAAAUUUCAUCUAUCGGGAUUUUCUUUUCACCGAAUCACAUUUUUUUUAUCACACGCGACAUAGUGCUCGAUUCGAGAGGAAGGUCGGAUUGAAUAAAAAUAUAAAUAAUUCGUAUCGGGAAAGAGUAGGCGGUAGAAAGAGAAUUUGAAAAAAAUAAGCCGUGUGUGCGUGCGGUGCGUGGAACAGUGACAAAAAGAGUAGAAAAAAAAAGGUUUUUCCAUCGGUGAAGGGGGUCAGAGCGGCGUGAGGAGGGGAGUGAGAGGUGUCGCGGUGCAGUGUGGGCGGGGAGGGACGGUUUCGAGCGCCACCAAAGAACGGCACGACACUAGACGGGAAAGAGAGAAGAGGAAAAGCAGCACCGCCGGUGUGUACGUGUGCGUUGUGCGAGCCUCCCUUUUUUUUACUCGCGCAAAGUGCAAGAGCAAGAGAGGGAUAAAAGACGCGCGCACGCGUCUCUAUAUGUCUUGCUGCUGCUGCUGCUGCUGCUGCUGCUGCUGCUGCUCUUCGGUGUGUUUGUGUUUAACGUGCUUGUGUUUAAGUGCGCGGAGGAAAAGGUGGACAACGCGACGAGGACGUCGGAUGUCGACGGAGUCGACGACGACGACGACGACGACGACGGGCAAAAGGAGGUAACGGUGCGCGGUUAAGGGGAGGGGGGGGGGGGCCGUCGAAAAGGAAAAAAGUAGGGGAAAUGCCGAUCGCCGGUGGAAUUCUCGUUGCUGGAAGCGCCUCGCGUUGCCUCUCCUCUGCCGCUGGCAUGCUUCGAUUCCUCGCCAGACUUUCAGGGAGACGACGGCACGUGCGUCGGAGUUGCGGACCAGGUGGUGGAUCGGGCUGCUGCGGUACGGUAAAAUCCGGGGAGACAAGAGCGAUUUCAGACUCAGCUUGCAUCACGUCCGAGUGCGCCAGUAUCGAGGAUAUGGCGGGAACGACAGCCGCAACGGCAACUACAACGACGACGACGACGACGACGACGACGACGACGACGACGACGACGUUGAGAAUCGAUGAAAAAAGUCGACCCGAGGAACAAACGAACGAUGAAGCGAUCGACAGAAUUCAAGAUUCGAGAUGGACACCAAUGGAAAUUUCAAUCGAGAGGUUAUCGUGCGAUCGAUUGCGACAAUCGAACGACUACUACGAAGACGAUAGUUGUCGUUGCUACGCCGAAAGUUGUUCCCAUCAUCACCAUUGUACGUUAUUAAAUACCGAGGAAAGCCUUCGAAGUAACCAACGAGACCACGACGAGUACCUCGAACGUUCUUUUGAGCUUUCCCGACGCCUCGAGCUUCAACCGUCUCUCGUUUCUGCAUAUUCCUCCGAGACGUUACAGUCCCCUGACUACGUUUCGCCGCAUCUUACGUUCGUACAAGCCGAAACUCAACGAGUCGAGCCUCCUCGGUAUACCGAGCAACUUGAGCACGACGAUAAAUCCCGUAUCACCCGGAGACCGAAAUUCAACGGUCAAAGACCAAUGGCCAAACGUUACGAUGAGCUUGAUAAAUAUUCCCGUGUACAAGAUAUAAAAGAUAAUCACGAACGCGUACCGAGGCGAUUCCAUCACAGGCUUCACUCUCAUCGAAACAAUAAACAUUCUACGCCCGACACUUUUCCGUCAACCUCCCUCGUCGAAUCGAGCUUCGACGAUAUCGCCGCCGCCGCCACCACCACCACGACUACUACCACUACUACUACCACCACCACCAUCACCACCACCACCACCACCACCACCACCACCACCACCACUGGCAAUAGCACUACCAUCACCAGCACCGCAACUACAACGACAACGACCAUAUCGAGAACGAGAACGAGAACGAGAGAUUGCGCCGGCGAGCAUCUAGUCGAUGACAUUAAUUCACGUAGCAACGAUAAUCCUUCAAAAUUUAAAAGCUCCUCGAUAUCCUCGAACGAUCAAACUAUUUAUCAAAAUGAAAUGCAAGAACGGGAAUUGUCUCGUAACCAACGGAACGGCCAUCAUCCCGAUAGCUCGUCCUUUACCAAUACGAGCUACACGAGGAGACGAACCUUUCCACCCUAUCUCGCUACUCUGCUCAUCAUCUCGUACACGCUGUUUGGAAUUGCAGACGCGUGUUCGUCGAGGUCUACACCCAAACCAAGACCACCAACGCCGACACCAAGGCCCAACAUCACAUUCCACAUGUACACAUGUCCGCCCGAUUACGCGGAAUGGUACUGUCUCAACGGUGCUACGUGCUUCACCGUCAAAAUUCAAGAGUCACUGCUCUACAACUGCCUAUGCGCCAAUGGAUUCAUAGGACAGAGGUGCGAGUUCAAAGACUUGGAUGGUUCCUAUUUGCCUUCCAGACAACGGGUAAUGCUGGAGACGGCCAGCAUAGCCGGUGGUGCCACGAUAGCAGUAUUCCUCGUCGUUAUUAUCUGUAUAGCAGCUUACAUACAUUGUAAACGCAAGCAGAAAGAAUUGCGUACGAGCAGUACCUGCGUCGAUACGGUGGAUGGUCCUGGCCGAGAUCCGGAGCUGAGGCCGUUCAGCAACCGCAGCCGCUCCCUAAUGAUCUUCAUGGCCAAGAAUCCAAACGGCUCGAUGCGUCCAUCUAUCGAGCAAACACGAAUGCCUGGAUGGUGCGACUAUUCGCAGACGGAGACGGCGAGGAUGGCUUCCGUAAACGAGGAAAAACGAGGCUCGAGCCAGUGAAAGUAGAGAAUUCGAGGAGAGCGCGACAUCAGGGCUGAGAUGGAGCAAGAAAGAGCGAAAACAGAAGAGAAUGAAGGAAAAAGGAAACACAACGUAAGGGGGGAGAAGGAGGAGGAAAAAACAAGAAAAGGGAACGUCUCGACGAAUAACAACCUCAAAGGACAAGCAGCAAGCUCCGACCGACAGAAAUAACUAUCGAAUUAUUUGUAGCGGAGUGGGGAAUUAAAACUGCGUUAUACAUUUGUGGACCGAAUUCGAAACGCAAAUCAAAAGAGAAAAAAUAAUAGCAUUUAAAUUUUCUAACAUUUUUCGCUAAAGUUAGCGCGUGUUCGCACGCCCAGUUUCGAAUUACGAAGGAAAAAAAAACGAAAACAAUCCUCGAUAUAUUCCGCGUUCAUCGCACAUCUUCGUUUUUCUUGUGUUUUUUCUUUAUCAUUUUUUAAAUUGAAUUUUUCUACUAGAGUAUCGUCGAGACAUUCCCGAUUCGACAUUUUGCCGGAUCUCCGUCCAGUCGAGCACGACCUCGGUUUUCGUUUUCGUGUUUUUUUUUUGUUUUUUAAUUCCAUCAACUUUGAAUGAUCGACAGAAAAUGUUUGUAAUAAUUCCUUCGUCGUAAGUUCAUGAUCUUCCACACGAUUGAGCUUGUUAUGAAAAAAAAAAAGAAAAAAAAAAAAGGAGAGAAAAGUAAUUUUUUCUACCAUCGGGGUUACGAGUUUUACUGAAAACAAAAUCCGUGAGUUUUGUUCCGAAUUUUCGUAAGUUUGCGAUUCCCAAUGUGCUUGCUCGUUUAAGCGAAUAUUUUUCGCGCUAUCACGUUUUUUCUCCCCUCUUUUCCUUUUGAUGGCAAUGGUCGUAAGUAUAGUUGGCCAACUAAUAAAUUUAGCCAAUCAUUCGAGCCGAGCAUGAAUUUUUUUCAAUCAAAUAAUAGAUCGAAAAUUGUAUUGCUCUCGACUUGUCGCGACCGUUAUAGUGGCGCAUAAGGAAAAUGAGGAACAAAGAAAAUUGAAAAAAUUAUAGUCGAAAAUAUGAAAACUUAUCUCGCGUGUAAAUAUCAAAAGUUGCAUGUUUAGCGAGGAUCAAGUUCGGACGUGUCGGACGAUGAAUAAAAUAUAAUUCACGAGUUCGAGAAUGAAAGAAGAAGAAUUUAAAAGACGACACACGAAUUAGUAUUCAUCGAUGAUUUGUACAUUAUGUAGAUACUCGUAUGAAAAAUGACCUUCCGAGCGAUUUAAUCAUCGCGAUGCUUGCUUAAAUUUUCCUUUCUGACGUUUGAGACAUCGAAUUGAAACCAAUGAAAGAACAACCCAUCUAAUGAAAAAAAAAAAAAAAAAAAAAAAAAAAAACAAACAGAAACACAGAAGGCUUUAAUAGCUUAUUAAAGGUUCUGGAACUGAUUCUGCUGCGUCAGAACGAGUUGUUCCUUACCUCCCGUUUCGUACUCUCUUUAGUCCCAGUAUUCCGACACUCGGGAGACCAUUCGCGCUCCCGUAGAUCAACAGGCAAGUUUGAUUUACGGUGCGAUCUUAAUUAAUCGCAAUGAUAUAUAUACUUCCACAUAUAAUCGAGUCUCGAUUAUGUAAGGAUUUGUAAACUCAAAAGAUUCGAAAAAACAUUAAAACCCAUCGCAUUAUUUGAAUUGAAUGCCCAUUAAUGGAAUAAAAAAGUAAUAAAAAUAAAAUCAUUAAGGAAGCGUAACGUAUGAAGGGAGAAUCUAUAGAUAAUCCGUUUAGUGGACGAGAGGUGCAGGACGAAACGACACAAGGCGGAAAAAAAAGAAGCGAGAGAGAGCGAGAAUUUUCUAGCAUAAUAUAAUUUAAUUAUUCAUCAUACUUUAUAUAUUGUACUUGGUUCCUAAUUUAUUAUUCUCAUUAUUAUCUAUUAUUAUUCUCAUCAUCUAUCUAUCUAUUAUUAUUACUAUUACUAUUAUUAUUAUUAUUAUCUAUUAUCGAUUAUUACCAUUAUUAAUCGCAGAGCCGAGAGGGAGGGGGCGUUGAAAAAGAACAAACCGAUAAUUCCAUAUGAACGUAUCAAUUAACGAUUAGUCCGUGUGUGUUUGAGAGAGCGAGAGAAGGUGCACACUUCGAUUUUAUUCGGUUAUGGGUAUUCACAAAUUAUCGGGAGAAAAAGAACAAAUUAAAUAAAUUACUUAAUCUUGGUAUCGCUCUGACGCCUGAAUUAUCAAAGAAUUGCCUUUAAUAAAAAUUACCACCGCGGGAUCGGUUUGAUAAUCAACGGCUUUACCAGUUAUCAUCGAUUAUCGUACAAAUUAAUGAGGAGGAUAAUGAAAAAUAAUUUAAAAGAAUUAGAAAAAAGCAGGAAUUAAGCAUACAAUUUUCAUGAUAAUAGUUAACUUUCGUUCCUAAGAGAUCUUGACACAUAAUCUUUAUUCGCCACGAAAAAAAGCGCGCUAAUGAUUGUGAAAAACGAGACUAAAAAACGUUUAUCGACGUAGAAAUGUUGCCUUCAAUCCGUACUCCCAACAACACUCUGCUCGCGUGGAAAUUAAGCUUCAACGUGCGAUAGGAAAGCGAAUAAUAUACAUCAUAUAAAAUUGAUAAUAGAUACAAACAAAGAGUAACGAACGAAAAAUAACUGUAUUUGGUUAUGAUCGCCUAAGAUGAAGAUAAAAAUCAUACCCACUCACAAAUGAAUACUGUACACGUCUGUGUUGUGUAACUCACGAUCAGCGAAACUAUAAUUUUGAACAGACAAAAAAACGAACUAACGAAUAAAUUCCACAUUCUUCCCAACCUUCGUUCCUUUUCUCCUCGUUCAGUACUAACAAAACAAUAGAAAACAAACGUAAAAUUGUAAACCCGACCGACUUGUAAUAAUAUUGUUUGUAGACAAUGGUGGCAUUUUUAGUACAUCAGACAGCGCCGUGUAAUUGAGAGCUAACGAAUUGAGAUAACAAUGCUUCGAUAUUGCGAACUUUCGAUCGUCGAUUUUUCUAAACGGUCGGAAAUUAACUUAAUUCGAAUGUUAUUAAUUCAGGAAAGGAAAUAAAAAAAAAUUAUGCGAGGCGUGUCUGUCUAUCGGGUGAUGAAAUCGGGUAUCCGAUUGUCUCUGAUUUCGGAAGAUUCAAGAAAGACGAACGAGUUUUCCAUCGUUCUCGAAUCCCAGUUAUAAUAGUAAUAAUAAAAAAUCACCUUAUCGUUGUGAUUAUUUUCUGUUGAUUUCCGAAUAUUCUCUUAGUUUGUUAAAGAAAAUAGCGUUAGCAAUAAUGAAAAGAAGAAAAAUUAAAUAUAAACGUGGAAAGAACCUCUCGUCAUUCUCGCAAUAUCGUCGCCUUGAAAUCUUAGUCGAAAUUUAAAAAAUGAAAAAGAAAACAAAAAUUUUUUGAAAAUUGUAAAAUUUGUAACUGCGAAAGUAACGCGAGCGCUUUAUGACCGGCGGAUGGUAGGUACCCCGUCCGACAUAUACACCAAAUCCGUACUUGCGGUAUGCUGUCCGUUGCAAAUGUACCAAAGAGACACGUCAUUGAACUGAUGAAAUAAAUAAAUUGAAAAAAAAAAAUGAAAAAAAAAAAAAAACAAUAAACCAUCGAACAACGACGACGAUCGAGAAGCGUUAUAUCCGCCAGUUCGUAUCAUCCAGAAUAACGAGAUUGCCAUGUGUAACCACGGGAUACAAGGUGGAUGAUAUCGUGUGUAAAAAAACAUUUGGAAAGUGGAAUUACCGGAAUAACUUGGCUGGAAAAAUUAAUCGGAAGUCAACUCUCGCUCGAAAUACUCGUUUUUGCAGGAGUAAAAAAAUGUUACUCUUUCAUUCCCAACAUUUUCUCGUUAUUUUAUUUUCUUAUCAAUAAUGCUGGAACAAACAUUUUUUUUUUUUUUUUUUUUUUUUUUUUCGUAACAAGUAUAAAAUAUUUUCUUAUCGAUAAUUUUUUCAAGUUGCGAUUCUCCCUCUUGCUAAUGCUAUACUUUUACGAAUGCUUCACGUCGAAAAAGAAAAAAAAAACAAACUAAUGUGAAUUCUCAAGGGGUAUAUACGAAGGAAGUUGGAUAUAAAUAAUACAAUUUUCGAAGA